CCGCGGCGGGCGUGGGGCGGGGACGCGCGGAGCCCACGAAGGCACCAUGCGGAGGACGGAACCAGCUCAAGUCUGCGAUGCACAAGUCAUUUCUCAUAGACAUCCGUAGCCUGGAAUGAUUGCAGAUCACAGGGUGAAGCAAAACAGUUCUCAACCAAAUCCUGCUCCAGGGACAUACAGGAUCCUACAAAAGAUGAAACAUCGGAAGAGGAGAUACUGGUGAACUGCUGAAUACUGAUGAGUUGCUGGGUUGCUUGAUAAAGUUUCUGCGCUAACUUGCACCCCAUCUUCAAGUCCCUGUAAGUGUUACCUUCUCUGGGAAGCGGGAUCGCCAGACUUCCUGCCUUUCUCCUAAAGUGUCCACAGGGACAGGUCUCAGUUUUGGCACUUCUGCCAUUUGAAUAUUGGUUAAAUAGUUUGUCUCUAUGGCUGGCUUUUAGGCUCUUUCUUUUUCUUUUUUAUUCUUAUUUUCUGAUUUCAUUAGUAACACAUUUCACUAUGUAAAAUUCUACCAUUACGGAAAUCCUGGACAUUAAGGAAAUGCCUAUCUUUUUUUUUUUUUUCAUGUGGGUUUGUUUUGCUUUGUUUUGAGACAGGGUUGACUACAUAUUCCAGGCUGACCUUGAACUCACUCUGUAGCCCAGGCUGGCCUUGAACUAGCCUGCGGCGAUCCUCCUGCCUCAGACUUCCAAGUGCCGGGACAACAGGACUGCGCCAGCACACCCGGCAAAAUGCCUGUUUUAGAGAGCCUUUCUCUGUUGCCCUGUGCUUGUUUCUCUUGUUAGCAUGUGCAGUUCACCCCACAAGAGCAGCUGCACACAUCCAUCUCACCCUAAGCCUGAGUUCCAGGAGGAUUGGGGUCGUCUCUCUCUGUUUUCAUGCGAUAGCACCUAACACGGCCCCUGGUACAUGGCGCAUGCUCAGUGUGCGUCCCCUGAAUGGAUGGGAGGACGCUGCCUUCGAAGCGUGUGCUGUUACAUGGGUGCCUGCGAUAGAUACGUGUGACCAACAGAG
RNAcentral lists this long non-coding RNA (1014 nucleotides) under Heterocephalus glaber (naked mole-rat). RNAcentral's name for it is "lncRNA (ENSHGLG00100033005.1)". The record is from RNAcentral. Lineage: Eukaryota; Metazoa; Chordata; Mammalia; Rodentia; Bathyergidae.